RNAcentral lists this ribosomal RNA (298 nucleotides) under uncultured Microcystis sp. RNAcentral describes it as "partial 16S ribosomal RNA". It matches the Rfam family "Bacterial small subunit ribosomal RNA", at positions 498 to 795 of the family's 1533-position model. The record is from RNAcentral. Lineage: Bacteria; Bacillati; Cyanobacteriota; Cyanophyceae; Chroococcales; Microcystaceae.
UAACUCCGUGCCAGCAGCCGCGGUAAUACGGGGGAGGCAAGCGUUAUCCGGAAUUAUUGGGCGUAAAGCGUCCGCAGGUGGUCAGCCAAGUCUGCUGUCAAAUCAGGUUGCUUAACGACCUAAAGGCGGUGGAAACUGGCAGACUAGAGAGCAGUAGGGGUAGCAGGAAUUCCCAGUGUAGCGGUGAAAUGCGUAGAGAUUGGGAAGAACAUCGGUGGCGAAAGCGUGCUACUGGGCUGUAUCUGACACUCAGGGACGAAAGCUAGGGGAGCGAAAGGGAUUAGAUACCCCUGUAGUC